GACGAACGCUGGCGGCGUGCUUAACACAUGCAAGUCGAACGGAAAGGCCCUGCUUUUGUGGGGUUCUCGAGUGGCGCACGGGUGAGUAACACGUGUGUAACCUGCCCCUGACUGUGGGGUAACUUCAGGAAACAGCGGCUCAUACCGGAUAGGAGCUCCUGCUGCAUGGUGGGGGUUGGAAAGUUUCGGCUGUACGGGAUGGACUCGCGGCUUAUCAGCUUGUUGGGGGGGUAGUGGCUUACGAAGGCUGUGACGGCUAGCCGGCCUGAGAGGGUGACCAGCGACCAUGCUACUAAGAGACGGCGCAGACGCGUACGUUGGGCAGCAGGGGGGAACAUGGCACAGUGGGGGGAAGUGUGAUGAAGCAACGUUGGGUGCGGGAUGACGGCUUACGGGGGGUAAACCGCUUUCGCCUGUGACGAAGCGUGAUUGACGGUAAUGGGUAAAGAAGCACCGGCUAACUACGUG
Molecule: ribosomal RNA, 468 nt
Filed under: uncultured bacterium
Lineage: Bacteria
Description: partial 16S ribosomal RNA
Rfam family: Bacterial small subunit ribosomal RNA
Source: RNAcentral